AUUGAACGCUGGCGGCAGGCCUAACACAUGCAAGUCGAGCGGAUGAAGGGAGCUUGCUCCUGGAUUCAGCGGCGGACGGGUGAGUAAUGCCUAGGAAUCUGCCUGGUAGUGGGGGAUAACGUCCGGAAACGGGCGCUAAUACCGCAUACGUCCUGAGGGAGAAAGUGGGGGAUCUUCGGACCUCACGCUAUCAGAUGAGCCUAGGUCGGAUUAGCUAGUUGGUGGGGUAAAGGCCUACCAAGGCGACGAUCCGUAACUGGUCUGAGAGGAUGAUCAGUCACACUGGAACUGAGACACGGUCCAGACUCCUAAGGGAGGCAGCAGUGGGGAAUAUUGGACAAUGGGCGAAAGCCUGAUCCAGCCGUGCCGCGUGUGUGAAGAAGGUCUUCGGAUUGUAAAGCACUUUAAGCUGGGAGGAAGGGCAGUAAGUUAAUACCUUGCUGUUUUGACGUUACCAACAGAAUAAGCACCGGCUAACUUCGUG
This 484-nucleotide ribosomal RNA is filed under the name uncultured bacterium. Its description in RNAcentral is "partial 16S ribosomal RNA". It matches the Rfam family "Bacterial small subunit ribosomal RNA", at positions 30 to 507 of the family's 1533-position model. The record is from RNAcentral.